This 706-nucleotide ribosomal RNA is filed under the name uncultured bacterium. Its description in RNAcentral is "bacterial SSU rRNA". It matches the Rfam family "Bacterial small subunit ribosomal RNA", at positions 28 to 748 of the family's 1533-position model. The record is from RNAcentral.
GACGAACGCUGGCGGCGUGCUUAACACAUGCAAGUCGAACGGAAAGGCCCCUUCGGGGUGCUCGAGUGGCGAACGGGUGAGUAACACGUGGGUGAUCUGCCCUGCACUUUGGGAUAAGCCUGGGAAACUGGGUCUAAUACCGAAUACACCCUGCUGGUCGCAUGGCCUGGUGGGGAAAGCUUUGCGGUGUGGGAUGGGCCCGCGGCCUAUCAGCUUGUUGGUGGGGUGAUGGCCUACCAAGGCGACGACGGGUAGCCGGCCUGAGAGGGUGUCCGGCCACACUGGGACUGAGAUACGGCCCAGACUCCUACGGGAGGCAGCAGUGGGGAAUAUUGCACAAUGGGCGCAAGCCUGAUGCAGCGACGCCGCGUGGGGGAUGACGGCCUUCGGUUGUAAACCCCUUUCAGUAUCGACGAAGCCGUGAGGUGACGGUAGGUACAGAAGAAGCACCGGCCAACUACGUGCCAGCAGCCGCGGUAAUACGUAGGGUGCGAGCGUUGUCCGGAAUUACUGGGCGUAAAGAGCUCGUAGGUGGUUUGUCGCGUUGUCCGUGAAAAUCUCACAGCUUAACUGUGGGCGUGCGGGCGAUACGGGCAGACUGGAGUACUGCAGGGGAGACUGGAAUUCCUGGUGUAGCGGUGGAAUGCGCAGAUAUCAGGAGGAACACCGGUGGCGAAGGCGGGUCUCUGGGCAGUAACUGACGCUG